GCCCCUGUAGUUCAAUGGAUAGAACGGCUCACUCCUAACGAGCUGAUCCAGGUCCGAUUCCUGGUGGGGGCA
Molecule: transfer RNA, 72 nt
Filed under: Candidatus Staskawiczbacteria bacterium RIFOXYB1_FULL_37_44
Lineage: Bacteria; Candidatus Staskawicziibacteriota
Also listed under: 3 other names
Description: tRNA-Arg
Rfam family: tRNA
About the family: Transfer RNA (tRNA) molecules are approximately 80 nucleotides in length. Their secondary structure includes four short double-helical elements and three loops (D, anti-codon, and T loops). Further hydrogen bonds mediate the characteristic L-shaped molecular structure. tRNAs have two regions of fundamental functional importance: the anti-codon, which is responsible for specific mRNA codon recognition, and the 3' end, to which the tRNAs corresponding amino acid is attached (by aminoacyl-tRNA synthetases). tRNAs cope with the degeneracy of the genetic code in two manners: having more than one tRNA (with a specific anti-codon) for a particular amino acid; and 'wobble' base-pairing, i.e. permitting non-standard base-pairing at the 3rd anti-codon position.
Source: RNAcentral